CAGCAGCCGCGGUAACACGGAGGGUGCAAGCGUUAAUCGGAAUUACUGGGCGUAAAGCGCACGCAGGCGGUCUGUCAAGUCAGAUGUGAAAUCCCCGGGCUUAACCUGGGAACUGCAUUUGAAACUGGCAGGCUAGAGUCUUGUAGAGGGGGGUAGAAUUCCAGGUGUAGCGGUGAAAUGCAUAGAGAUCUGGAGGAAUACCGGUGGCGAAGGCGGCCCCCUGGACAAAGACCGACGCUCAGGUGCGAAAGCGUGGGGAGCAAACAGGAUUAGAUACCCCAGUAGUCCCUGUCUCUUAUCC
Molecule: ribosomal RNA, 301 nt
Filed under: uncultured bacterium
Lineage: Bacteria
Description: partial 16S ribosomal RNA
Rfam family: Bacterial small subunit ribosomal RNA
Source: RNAcentral